RNAcentral lists this ribosomal RNA (253 nucleotides) under uncultured bacterium. RNAcentral's name for it is "partial 16S ribosomal RNA". It matches the Rfam family "Bacterial small subunit ribosomal RNA", at positions 524 to 776 of the family's 1533-position model. The record is from RNAcentral.
UACGAAGGGGGCUAGCGUUGUUCGGAAUUACUGGGCGUAAAGCGCACGUAGGCGGGUUGUUAAGUCAGGGGUGAAAUCCUGGAGCUCAACUCCAGAACUGCCUUUGAUACUGGCAACCUAGAGACUGGAAGAGGUUAGUGGAAUUCCCUGUGUAGAGGUGAAAUUCGUAGAUAUUGGGAAGAACACCAGUGGCGAAGGCGGCUAACUGGUCCAGCACUGACGCUGAGGUGCGAAAGCGUGGGGAGCAAACAGG